UAGUGAAGAAAUUUAAGGAGGGAGCUUACGUGACAUUUUGCAUUUUGGAUACAAUUCUGAUGGCAACAUGAGCAGAAAAAUCAGAAGAAAUAUCAUAGUAGUGUAGACAGAAUAUGAUGAAGGGAAGUGGAAGAGCAGAUACAACCAAAACAGCAUACCCAAGGAGAGGAACUGGCAAGAAGUGAAUUAGUUAGAGAAGACAGAAAAUGCUCAAGGAGGGGUGGGAGGUAAACAUGAUAGAAAACACAUUGAAUACAUACAUGAAAUUGUCAAAAUUCAUAAAAAUAAGCAUCUUAAUGAAAGAGAUUGUGCAUGAACAAGCUGGUAUCUGGUUUGGCCAUUUGUGUUAGGGAUAGUGUCAUUGACAGAGACUGAAGGGAAAGGGAUAGAUUUAGAAAGGGUUUCGUUUCAGAAGGAAAAUGAGUUUGCUUUGGACAGCCUAGACAGUAUGUGUUAAGUAGAUGCAAGUCUAAAGUCCAGUGCAAGAGACGCAGCGCAAGAGACGCAGAUUUAAAGUUGAGUUCCAGAUGUCAGAAGACGUAGUCGUUAAAGCAUGGUAAUGGAAUUGUAUCAUCAAAAGAAAAGACAGCAACUUACCCUAAUUUAUAGUGGAUGUAUUCCCUAGUUAGCUUUGAAACCUCUGCGUAGUACUGAACCCAAAAGGUACUCUGUGGUGUGUGUGUGUGUGACAUAAACCUGUGGAAGUUUAUAAGUUAGGCACAGUGGUUGAUUAGCCCAAUGACUAAUAGGAAAGUAGAAUGCUAGAGAAAUACUAUAAUGAAAGUUAUUUAAAACUAGUAUAUUGGCUUUUUGUUUUUCUGGACCUUUUUAUUCAACGUUUUGACAGUAGUUGACUACAAAUAACUUCAGGAGCUUGGUGGUUUGGUGAUAGUUUUUGUGGCUUGUGAGAGAGAAAACUAUCCAAAAAAAACUUAAAGGAAGGAGGGAAGGAACAAUGGCUCAGCCGUUAUGAACAUUUCUUCUCGAGGACCUGGGUCCAGUUUGUCAUACCCACGUGGCAGCUCAUAACCAUCUCUUUACUCCAGUUUCAGGAGAUGUGGUGCCCUCUUCUGACCUUUGCAGCACUACACCUGUGCAUGCGAUGCACAUAUAUACACAUGCAGGCAAAACACUCACACACAAAAAUAAAAAUAAAUCUUAAAAACCUAUUGCCUUAUAUAAAACAUGGCCUCUGUCCAUGAGUAAUAUGUGCUUUGAGAUAAGUAGCAUACAUAUAAAAAGUAUAAUAUUAGUUGUUUCAGUGAGAAUGAACUCUAAAUGGGGCAUAAGAGAUAGAUAGUUCAACC
RNAcentral lists this long non-coding RNA (1307 nucleotides) under Mus musculus (house mouse). RNAcentral's name for it is "long non-coding RNA chr1:172184426-172185733". Lineage: Eukaryota; Metazoa; Chordata; Mammalia; Rodentia; Muridae. The record is from RNAcentral.